Molecule: unclassified non-coding RNA, 395 nt
Filed under: uncultured Basidiomycota
Lineage: Eukaryota; Fungi; Basidiomycota
Description: sequence contains ITS2
Rfam family: 5.8S ribosomal RNA (bases 1-155)
Source: RNAcentral
AACUUUCGACAAUGGAUCACUUGGCUCUCGCAUCGAUGAAGAACGCAGCAAAACGCGAAAUGUAAUGUGAAUUGCAGAAACCAAGUGAAUCAUCGAAUCUUUGAACGCAUCUUGCGCCCGGUGGUAUUCCGCGGGGCAUGCCUGUCUGAGUGUCACGAUUGUUGAACACGCAUGUGCAUUGUAAGGUGUAUGUGGGUGGAGGUUGGGUGUGGUUGUGUGAACAGCCCACCUUAAAGCGAAGGAGCCGACGGUGAAAUGUACGGCUUGACCGAGUGUUGUAGUUUUUCACGCUCGCUACGUGCUGCUGUGUGCCAGUGACAAAAACAUCAAGUGAACGAGACCUCAGAUCAGGUAGGAUUACCCGCUGAACUUAAGCAUAUCAAUAAGCGGAGGCU